Molecule: non-coding RNA, 88 nt
Filed under: uncultured Pradoshia sp.
Lineage: Bacteria; Bacillati; Bacillota; Bacilli; Caryophanales; Bacillaceae
Description: Purine riboswitch
Rfam family: Purine riboswitch aptamer (bases 10-85)
About the family: Riboswitches are metabolite binding domains within certain messenger RNAs that serve as precision sensors for their corresponding targets. Allosteric rearrangement of mRNA structure is mediated by ligand binding, and this results in modulation of gene expression.
Source: RNAcentral
GCAAUGUUUCUCUCAUAUAAUAGCGGGGAUAUGGCCUGCGAGUUUCUACCCAAAAACCGAAUAAAUUUUUGGACUAUGAGGGAAAGCA